UGGGAGAUAUUGCACAAUGGGCGAAAGCCUGAUGCAGCGACGCCGCGUGGGGGAUGAAGGCCUUCGGGUUGUAAACUUCUUUUGCUCUGAACAAGGCAUGCCUUUGGGGUGUGUUGAGUGUAGGGGUUGAUUAGCGCCGGCUAACUACGUGCCAGCAGCCGCGGUAAUACGUAGGGCGCGAGCGUUGUCCGGAAUUAUUGGGCGUAAAGGGCUUGUAGGUGGCUGGUUGCGUCUGUCGUGAAAGCUCAUGGCUUAACUGUGGGUUUGCGGUGGGUACGGGCUGGCUUGAGUGCAGUAGGGGAGGCUGGAAUUCCUGGUGUAGCGGUGGAAUGCGCAGAUAUCAGGAGGAAUACCGGUGGCGAAGGCGGGUCUCUGGGCUGUUACUGACGCUGAGGAGCGAAAGCGUGGGGAGCGAACAGG
This 420-nucleotide ribosomal RNA is filed under the name Fusobacteriota bacterium. RNAcentral describes it as "Fusobacteria bacterium partial 16S ribosomal RNA". It matches the Rfam family "Bacterial small subunit ribosomal RNA", at positions 355 to 776 of the family's 1533-position model. The record is from RNAcentral. Lineage: Bacteria; Fusobacteriati; Fusobacteriota.